UAAAUUGAGAGUUUGAUCCUGGCUCAGGACGAACGCUGGCGGCGUGCCUAAUACAUGCAAGUCGAACGAGAAUUUCUUACACCGAGUGCUUGCACUCACCG
This 101-nucleotide ribosomal RNA is filed under the name Candidatus Ligilactobacillus faecavium. RNAcentral describes it as "partial 16S ribosomal RNA". It matches the Rfam family "Bacterial small subunit ribosomal RNA", at positions 1 to 95 of the family's 1533-position model. The record is from RNAcentral. Lineage: Bacteria; Bacillati; Bacillota; Bacilli; Lactobacillales; Lactobacillaceae.